AUUGAACGCUGGCGGCAGGCCUAACACAUGCAAGUCGAGCGGAUGAGAGGAGCUUGCUCUUCGAUUCAGCGGCGGACGGGUGAGUAAUGCCUAGGAAUCUGCCUAGUAGUGGGGGACAACGUUUCGAAAGGAACGCUAAUACCGCAUACGUCCUACGGGAGAAAGUGGGGGAUCUUCGGACCUCACGCUAUUAGAUGAGCCUAGGUCGGAUUAGCUAGGUGGUAGGAUAACGGCCUACCAAGGCGACGAUCCGUAACUGGUCUGAGAGGAUGAUCAGUCACACUGGAACUGAGACACGGUCCAGACUCCUACGGGAGGCAGCAGUGGGGAAUAUUGGACAAUGGGCGAAAGCCUGAUCCAGCCAUGCCGCGUGUGUGAAGAAGGCCCUCGGGUCGUAAAGCACUUUAAGUUGGGAGGAAGGGCUUACAGCGAAUACCUGUGAGUUUUGACGUUACCGACAGAAUAAGCACCGGCUAACUUCGUGCCAGCAGCCGCUGUAA
Molecule: ribosomal RNA, 500 nt
Filed under: uncultured bacterium
Lineage: Bacteria
Description: partial 16S ribosomal RNA
Rfam family: Bacterial small subunit ribosomal RNA
Source: RNAcentral